CCUAAACCAGCUGUAUCUCCAGGACAGUCAUCAGGCAAAGAGCAGCCAGUGCCGGGAGAUCUCUGUGCAAGGCAAGUCAUAUGAGCUGCUGUGCUGUGGUCACCUUCCCCACAAAGAGGAGAAAACUUGAGGAAAAAGUUAUGAAUCAUCUUCUCCAGGACCCUUGAUAAAUCCUUGCACUGAGGAUUGACUCUAAUAUGUAGGGGACAUGGAAGAGAAGGAACAUUUCCAGAGAAGGAAAAAGGCAUCUGCUUUUUUGGAACCCUCCACACAAGUACCAGUCCGUGAGUGUUCAGGCUAAGAUCUAAUUAUUGCUUGAGAUACAGCAUUAAGGGGACAUUCCCAGCACGCUAACAUGCAGCAGAGAUGGUGAUACAAGCUG
Falco peregrinus (peregrine falcon) is the source of this 382-nucleotide long non-coding RNA. RefSeq lists it as uncharacterized. The transcript is spliced from 4 exons. NCBI's taxonomy places the organism in Eukaryota, Metazoa, Chordata, Aves, Falconiformes, Falconidae. The record is from RefSeq and is a predicted model, not a curated record.